RNAcentral lists this ribosomal RNA (467 nucleotides) under uncultured bacterium. RNAcentral's name for it is "partial 16S ribosomal RNA". It matches the Rfam family "Bacterial small subunit ribosomal RNA", at positions 28 to 507 of the family's 1533-position model. The record is from RNAcentral.
GACGAACGCUGGCGGCGUGCCUAACACAUGCAAGUCGAACGGAAAGGCCACUUUCGGGGGGCUCUCGAGUGGCGAACGGGUGAGUAACACGUGCGUAACUAGCCCAUGACUUUGACAUAACUACAUUAAACUGGGGCGAAUACCGGAUGGGAGCUCCUGUUGAAGGCAGGGGGCUGUAAUGAUCCGGCGGUUUGUUAUGGAUUCGCGACGUAUCCGCUUGUUGUUGGGGAGUUGGCUUUCCAAGGCCUUGCCGCGUAGCCGGCCUGAGAGGGUGAUCUGCCACCUUGACACUGAGAUACGGCAGAAGUACCUACGGUAGCAAGAAGUGCGAAAUAUUGCCCAAUGGAUGCCGCCUUGAUGCAGCAACGCCGUGUGCCGGAUGACGCUCUUCGGGUUGUAGAACGAUUUCGCUCGUAACGAAGCUUUGUGUGACGGUAGUGGGUAAAGAAGCCCCGGCUAACUACGUG